This 465-nucleotide ribosomal RNA is filed under the name uncultured bacterium. RNAcentral's name for it is "bacterial SSU rRNA". It matches the Rfam family "Bacterial small subunit ribosomal RNA", at positions 29 to 513 of the family's 1533-position model. The record is from RNAcentral.
AUUGAACGCUGGCGGCAUGCCUUACACAUGCAAGUCGAACGGCAGCACGGGAGCAAUCCUGGUGGCGAGUGGCGAACGGGUGAGUAAUAUAUCGGAACGUGCCCGGUCGUGGGGGAUAACGUAGCGAAAGCUACGCUAAUACCGCAUACGAUCUACGGAUGAAAGCGGGGGGAUCGCAAGACCUCGCGCGAUUGGAGCGGCCGAUAUCAGAUUAGGUAGUUGGUGAGGUAAAGGCUCACCAAGCCGACGAUCUGUAGCUGGUCUGAGAGGACGACCAGCCACACUGGGACUGAGACACGGCCCAGACUCCUACGGGAGGCAGCAGUGGGGAAUAUUGGACAAUGGGCGAAAGCCUGAUCCAGCAAUGCCGCGUGAGUGAUGAAGGCCUUAGGGUUGUAAAGCUCUUUCACCGGUGAAGAUAAUGACGGUAACCGGAGAAGAAGCCCGGCUAACUUCGUGCCAGCA